RNAcentral lists this unclassified non-coding RNA (269 nucleotides) under Hevea brasiliensis (rubber tree). The record is from RNAcentral. Lineage: Eukaryota; Viridiplantae; Streptophyta; Magnoliopsida; Malpighiales; Euphorbiaceae.
UUUUGCUUGACACCAACUAUAGUUUUUGUGUUCUUGUAAAAAUCCCAGUUUAUUUGUUAAGCUUCAGUUUAUCUAGGGUCAUCUUUUAAUAAGCAUGCAGGGAAACAGAUAAAUAGUUAAAUAAAAGUCCCUUGGCCAUGAUAUUUGGAUUUUCUCUUGUCAAAUAUUGUUGCUAUAUCAUUAUAUGAAUGUAAAAUUCUAUGCUUUUGAGCCUAUGUGUUUCAAUAUCUUUUAUGUAUAGCUUUGCCUUUGGUGCCUCUUAUGCUAUG